UGUGCUAUCAGCUAACUUAGUGGCGGACGGGUGAGUAACACGUAGGUAACCAACCUUUGGGCGGGGGACAACCCCGAGAAAUCAGGGCUAAUACCGCAUAAGACCACGGGCUGAAAAGCUAGUGGGAAAAGUGGCAACACACCCAGAGACGGGCCUGCGGCCUAUCAGGUAGUUGGUGAGGUAAGAGCUCACCAAGCCUAAGACGGGUAGCCGGGCUGAGAGGUUGAACGGCCACACUGGAACUGAGACACGGUCCAGACUCCUACGGGAGGCAGCAGUGGGGAAUCUUGCGCAAUGGGGGAAACCCUGACGCAGCGACGCCGCGUGGAGGAUGAAGGUCUUCGGGUUGUAAACUCCUUUUGUAGGGGAAAAUAGUGAUGGUACCCUACGAAUAAGCCACGGCUAACUCUGUGCCAGCAGCCGCGGUAAGACAGAGGUGGCGAGCGUUGUUCGGAAUUACUGGGCUUAAAGGGCGAGUAGGCGGUAGGGCAAGUCCAAGGUGGAAUCCUAUGGCUCAACCAUAGAAUUGCCUUGGAAACUGCUUUACUUGAGUCAGUGAGGGGAGGGCAGAAUUCCUGGUGUAGCGGUGAAAUGCG
This 596-nucleotide ribosomal RNA is filed under the name uncultured bacterium. RNAcentral's name for it is "bacterial SSU rRNA". It matches the Rfam family "Bacterial small subunit ribosomal RNA", at positions 76 to 690 of the family's 1533-position model. The record is from RNAcentral.